CGGUUCCGCUUCGGCGGAUUAAAAGGGAAUCUUGUGAAAAUCAAGAACUAAACCCGUAGCUGUAAGCACCAUGAAAGCGUUUGAACGCUUUCAUUCUUUGAAAACAACCACAGAGAAGUUGUCUCGCAACUCUCAGCCACUGUUCGCAAGAAUGGGAAGGCCGUUUUCAAAGAGGUGUAAGUCAGAAGACCUACCGUGAUUU
Molecule: non-coding RNA, 202 nt
Filed under: human gut metagenome
Source: RNAcentral